RNAcentral lists this long non-coding RNA (302 nucleotides) under Nicotiana benthamiana. Its description in RNAcentral is "long non-coding RNA (NBEN_LNC014503)". The record is from RNAcentral. Lineage: Eukaryota; Viridiplantae; Streptophyta; Magnoliopsida; Solanales; Solanaceae.
GCGUGAUUCGCGAGUCCACUGAUUUAAACAUCAAGUUCUCUGCAGCCUCAAUCUGUGUUCAGACAACCCUGUGGAAGCUAGAUGACUUUGAUGAAACGACAGGGAAAUACUUUAUUACAAUUGGUGGAAAUGAAGGAAAUCCUGGUAGAGAAACUAUAAGCAACUGGUUCAAGAUUGAGAUUUUAUUACGAUUGGUGGAAAUGAAGGAAAUCCUGGUAGAGAAACUAUAAGUAACUGGUUCAAGAUUGAGAAAUUUGAACGUGAUUAUAAGCUGGUCUACUGUCCUACAGUAUGCAACUUUU